CUAUGGAAAAUUGUUAAGAGAUACACUGUGACAAACAUGCGCUCUGAGAUUGAUAAUAACCAGAAUAAGGUCAAAACGGGAACCUGGCGGAGUCAAUAUUCAGCGAGAGCCGGAACUGGGUGGCGCCGGCCAGGAUGAGGUACACAUUUCUUCAGCACAGAUGGAGGGAAGGCUUGAGCGAAACACGUAAGUUAUUUGUGUUUUUACAUGGUCGAAGCGACAUAACACUGCGUAGGUUGCUUAGAGAAUACCACUGUGUAAUUCAUAACCAUCGGAGCGCCAGAUGAGAAGAACCCGUUUUUUCUGACUUCAGUUACAUUCGACCCCAUUUGGACCAGGAGCAGCACCGGAUGGCUGAAGUUGGCCCAGGAGAAAACACAGUAUAUGCCAUCAUGCCUGACAAAGAAGUCUGUGGGAAUGCUGCCGAGAUCUAUUUUUCCACACUGUGAUUCACUGACAGUUUCUGCCAGGCUUGAUCUGUGUUUCCAUUUUGCUACUAUGCUCUACCAUCCUGAUGCAUUCUGGUCAUCUGAUGCAUUAACAAGCAGCUGAAACGCUGAGCUGAGUGUCUGUUUCCGUUUUAGGUUUAAGAAACUUUACAGCAUCUUUACAAAUCUACAUGUACAUGCAAACUAUGUAAUUUGGGCGUAGUACAUAGUGUAUUAUGGCCAAUAUAAAUAUACUGAUGUCUGUUUUGAAAAAUAGAUAUCUAUUUGUAUAUAUGUAAAAAAAAACAAAAAAAAAAAACAUACAGCCUGACAUUUAGUUUUUCAUUAUCAGACAUUUUGUUUGAAAUUACAGCGCUAUACUUAACCUUGAAGGCUGCUUAAAACAAUGAGGAGCAGUUUGAUUUUCAUACUUUCAUACAAGUAAAAAGGUAGAUCAGCAUUCUCUGGAGAUAAAAUAGUUUGCUACUAUAAUGCAGUAAGAACAAAAAACAAACAGGCAAGAGAAUGCCAACAGCAUUCUCGUGCCGUAUUUGAUAAGUGAAAGAAUAGAAUAAACAAGAAACAAAUUAAGACUGACAGUAACUCUGACAAUGCAAAAGUGAAGGUGAUGCAUUUCCUGGUCCAUCCUUGCAGAUAAAUCAUAAAACAUGUUGAAAAGAACAACAUUAGUUUCGUUCCCCCCAGGUGUGCCGGAAGCUGUGUCGGCUUUAAAGUCCUCCUCCCCAGGGAACUGGUUUCAGAUGGUGUCUUAGAGUCUAAAAUCCCAUCUAGCACCAUUUGAAAUCGGUGUUCUUGAGCGGGAACAGAUUUCACUUUAGCAAUCAGUGCAGGAUUGCUGUUUGGUUUGUGAUGGUAAUUUUCAAAACAAUUAAAAAUAGUACCAGGAAUGGGUUGCAUAUUGACAGACUGUAGGGCUCUGCAAAUCUUAAGCAUCAUCCCUUAAAUAGAUAAGAGCACAGGAAUACAUUUUUCCAACCCUCUAAUCAAGGCUGACCGUUUUCCUCUGGUGUUCAGAGUUUCCAUCAUGUCUAGCACCAUUUGAAAUCGGUUACAAUGUGGAGGGAAAAUCAACAUUUUGCUUCAGGUUCAUUGUGAAUAUCCACCAAAGGCCACAAGAUGGCAGCAUUGCACUUAUUUCAGUCAUCCAAGCCGCAGCGCUGGAAGGAUCCCAAAGCAUAAAUAAGGACCAUGUGCAGGUGCAAAUCUGAAUUGUUUUGAUGGAAUAAAAACGUAUUGUUGUUAUUGAAAAUUUUGUGCAAAUGUUUUUUUUAUUAUUAUUAUUAUUUAUUGGGGAACGAAUCAGGUGACUUUCACUGUGUGUUUAAUGGUUUCUGUAUUGAUUCCCUUUUUGUAAUGUUUAAUUAAAUAGAGAUAUACUGGUUAAAUGCUUCAGUGGUCUGGAAGCUGUGCCAUCAGGCUUGUGCAACAUUUUCAAAUUUAUGCUUGAAUGGCUGAUUGUGUCCCUGUAGGACCUUGAUUUAAUUUUAUAAAGUUACUAUUUUACUUCUUAUUAUGACUAAAAUUUUUUUUUUUUUUAUCAGAAUAAAAGAUAUGUAAUAGAAUAUUUAUUAUUCUGGGAUUUAGCAAAUACAAUUAUUUUAGAUAAUUGUUUUUGUUUACAACUUAUAUAAACAUCUCAAUUAUAAAGAUAUGUAGCUAUAAAACAAGUUGUGUUUUUCCACAUAAUUAAAAAAAGAUCAGGUAUUAACAACAUUAAAGGAAAAUGGUGCUGGAGUGGCUGAUGGAUUCCCAGUGACAUUCUCUUUGGGGCCUCAUACUGCUUUGGUGAGAUCUGCCUGUGAAGUAAUUGUUUUGGGCUUUUGGUUCAUUUUGUCGCAAGUUGUUCACUACAUGAUUUUCUGACACUGCAACAAAAUAUAACAUGAUGAAAAGUUGAGAAAGGCCCAGGUUCAGCCAAGAUAACAAGCCCAUAACUGGAAACCCUUUCAUACUGAUGGCAUAAAGUCAUCAGUAUGAAAGAUCCCGAGUCCUCCACUUGGGGCAGGACACCUGUUCUGUAGAUUAAGCUCAGUGUUUGGGAUUUGUCUGAAAACUGAUGGUGCCCCCUAUAGGCAUAAAAACAACAUUCUUGGCUCCAUAAAGCCUAUAAAUGUUUUCCCAUUUCUCUUUUGGUAAGUCGAUGACAUCCUUGACAAAAUUGAAACUUUAUAGUAUGUAAUUUUCUUCAACAAUCGGACUAUAAUGUAGAUCCAGUGUAACUUUUACAGUACAUACAUGUAACUGGCCUUCUGUAAUAACUUAAAAGAUGAUCAUUGACUGAUUAUUUUGCAUUUUUGCAAUUUAUUUAGUUGGAAUAGCUGUUUUGGUUUCUAAGCAUAUUAGAGAUUAUUUUUUUUUGUAAUUUAUAAUUUCCUGCACUUUUCUAGAUAUUUCCAAUUAAUUUUUUAAUCUAAUUAUUCCAUUCAGUGAGUACUGUCAUGUUCCGGGGUUUUUUAGCUCCUUUGUGGAGGUUUUGUUUGUGCAGGCAACUUUUCUACCACUAGAGGGAGCCAUAUCCAUUCUGUCGGAGGGUGCAGAUGACGUCAUCCCACACCUGAGGCGAAUUGAGCUCAUCAACGAGAUGUUCAAGAGAAGCAGACGGCCAGUCCUUCGGCGCCUGAGUGUUUGCCAGCCACGGUGUUUCCUCCUGGCUCCUUGUGUUCCCGUCCAUCCUCGUGACGCCGUGGGAAGUACCCACAGGUUGCCCGAGCCCCAGACUCACCUUAUCCGUGCACCAACCAGCUCCUCCAGAAUUCCCACGACUGGCAGUCGCUCCGCUCCUCUACGUCCGCCGAUCUAAGCCUACCUGUCCGCCCUCCGACGAGCUCCCGUUGCCUCCUGGAUUCCUGACGCCAGACAUCACACUACCUGGAACCACUGAGAACUGAAGCCUCGGACAUUACAGUACUCUCUCACCUCUCAAACCAGCCGUUCACAAUUAACCGUUUGUUUCCUGACGUUACCUUCCUCCCUGGACCCGACCCGAGCCUCCAGUACCCACCAGCAGUGUUUUCAAUAAAAUUCAUUCUUAACUCA
Poeciliopsis prolifica (blackstripe livebearer) is the source of this 3485-nucleotide long non-coding RNA. RefSeq lists it as uncharacterized. The record is from RefSeq and is a predicted model, not a curated record. The transcript has 3 exons. NCBI's taxonomy places the organism in Eukaryota, Metazoa, Chordata, Actinopteri, Cyprinodontiformes, Poeciliidae.